UACGUAGGGUGCAAGCGUUACUCGGAAUUACUGGGCGUAAAGCGUGCGCAGGCGGUUUGGUAAGACCGAUGUGAAAGCCCCGGGCUUAACCUGGGAAUGGCAUUGGUGACUGCACGGCUAGAGUGUGUCAGAGGGGGGUAGAAUUCCACGUGUAGCAGUGAAAUGCGUAGAGAUGUGGAGGAAUACCGAUGGCGAAGGCAGCCCCCUGGGAUAACACUGACGCUCAUGCACGAAAGCGUGGGGAGCAAACAGG
Molecule: ribosomal RNA, 253 nt
Filed under: uncultured bacterium
Lineage: Bacteria
Description: partial 16S ribosomal RNA
Rfam family: Bacterial small subunit ribosomal RNA
Source: RNAcentral